UGUAAUAUAAAACUUUCUGGAACUUUUAGCCUGGUGGGAAGGCUCUGCUGUAAGCGUUAGGAUUGCUCUUGUCUAAAAUUAAAGCACCCACGCCUAUUGCUGAAACUGGCUAGUACACAUGGAAGGCCUGAUUUAGACUUCCACGGUUGAUCAGGGAACCAUCAGAGCCCUACCUUAGCUGAAGUUACAGACAUACCCUGCUUCAGACUUAUCAGGAGAGGGUGUGUCUAUAUUACAUGUGGACACACGUCCACUCCGGUUCGAGAUCCUAUGGCCCACGUCAAGAACAGAAAGCAGCUGCUCAUGCAGACGGUGUGUGAAACAUUAGCUGCGUUUUGCAAACAUGUAAGAAUUUCCCAGUGAGAAUCUUGACCGCAGAUGUGGGCCUGGCAGCUCCUCCUGGGCCUUGUGCCUGGGGCUCAGCCCUGGGGAUGCUGUUCAAGCUACACUUCCAGCCUGGCUCAACAUCUGACUGUCCCUCUGUACAAAGGGGCUGGUUUUGAGGUUCUGGGUCACAAGGUGGAUCAAGCCCUUGCCCCUUAUCCCAGGGAGGGAAACUCCUAACAGCUGAAGCAAAGUCUGCUUUAUCACACUGACCUCUGACCCUUCUCAAGCUUUCUGAACAAACCUCAACCAGGUUAACCUAAAAUCACCAUUCUCAAAUCUGCCUGUGCAUGACCUAAGGGAAUCUUUCAUUAAUUUUUUUUUUUUUUUUUUGAGGUAGAGUCUUGCUCUGUCGCCCAGGCUGGAGUGCAGUGGCGCAAUCUGGGCUCACUGCAACUUCCGCCUCCCGUGUUCAAGCGAUUCUCCUGCUUCAGCCUCCCGAGUAGCUGGGAUUAUAGGCAAAUGCCACCAUGUUCAGCUAAUUUUUGUAUUUUUAGUAGAGAUGGGGUUUCGCCAUGUUGGCCAGGCUGGUCUCUAACUUCUGACCUCAGGUGAUCCGCCCGUCUCGUCUCGGCCUCCCAAAGUACUGGGAGCCAUCACACCCGGCCUAAGAGAAUCUUUUAAAAUGCAGGUUUUGAUCCUUUAGUUCUUAAACAUGACAAUUGGAUGUUUAUGCAUAUGUGUGAGAUGUGUCACCCUUGAACCUUGUUACCAUGUCUGCACAUUACCUAUCUGACAUGAAAAAAAAAAGAAAAAUGCAGGUUUCUCAGCCCCUCCCAGACUUACUGAAUAAGGCUUUCUCAGGCAGAAGGUCAUGAAUUUGUCAUUGAACAUGUCUUAGUCCAUUCAGCUGCUAUAACAAAAAUACCAUAGACUGGGUGGCUUAUAAACAACAGAAUUUUUUGUUGUUUUUAUCUUUUUUUUUUUUUUUUUUUUUUUUGAGACGGAAUUCUCACUUUUUUGCCCAGGCUAGAGUGCAGUGGAGCAAUCUUGGCUCACUGCAACCUCCGUCUCCCAGGUUCAAGCAAUUCUCCUGCCUCAGCCUCCCAAGUAGCCGGGAUUACAGGUAUGUGCCACCACAUCCAGCUAAUUUUUUGUAUUUUUAGUAGAGAUGGGGUUUCACCAUAUUGGCCAGGCUGGUCUUGAACUCCUAACCUCAGAUGAUCCACCCACCUCGGCCUCCCAAAGUGCUGGGAUUACAGGUGUGAGCCACCAUGCCUGGC
Molecule: long non-coding RNA, 1607 nt
Filed under: Homo sapiens (human)
Lineage: Eukaryota; Metazoa; Chordata; Mammalia; Primates; Hominidae
Description: HSALNT0111605
Rfam family: Small nucleolar RNA U13 (bases 1022-1122)
Source: RNAcentral